RNAcentral lists this ribosomal RNA (428 nucleotides) under uncultured bacterium. RNAcentral describes it as "partial 16S ribosomal RNA". It matches the Rfam family "Bacterial small subunit ribosomal RNA", at positions 354 to 796 of the family's 1533-position model. The record is from RNAcentral.
GUAGGGAAUAUUGGACAAUGGGGGCAACCCUGAUCCAGCGACGCCGCGUGAGUGAUGAAGGCCUUCGGGUCGUAAAGCUCUGUUGCAGGGGAAGAACACAAUGACGGUACCCUGCUAGAAAGGAUCGGCUAACUUCGUGCCAGCAGCCGCGGUAAGACGAGGGAUCCUAGCGUUGUUCGGAAUCAUUGGGCGUAAAGCGGGUGCAGGUGGCUUGGUAAGUCAGAUGUGAAAGCCUGGGGCUUAACCCCAGAAGUGCAUUUGAUACUGCUGAGCUUGAGUGCGGGAGAGGCUAUUAGAAUUCCUGGUGUAGUGGUGAAAUACGUAGAUAUCAGGAGGAAUACCGGAGGCGAAGGCGGAUAGCUGGCCAGACACUGACACUCAGACCCGAAAGCGUGGGGAUCAAACAGGAUUAGAAACCCGGGUAGUCC